GCAUUGGUGGUUAGAGAUAGAACUCUUGCCUUUUAUGCAGGAGCCCUAGGUUCAAUUCCUGAUCAAUGCA
RNAcentral lists this transfer RNA (70 nucleotides) under Loxodonta africana (African savanna elephant). It matches the Rfam family "tRNA". From Rfam's summary of the family: Transfer RNA (tRNA) molecules are approximately 80 nucleotides in length. Lineage: Eukaryota; Metazoa; Chordata; Mammalia; Proboscidea; Elephantidae. The record is from Rfam by way of RNAcentral.